This 253-nucleotide ribosomal RNA is filed under the name uncultured bacterium. RNAcentral's name for it is "partial 16S ribosomal RNA". It matches the Rfam family "Bacterial small subunit ribosomal RNA", at positions 524 to 776 of the family's 1533-position model. The record is from RNAcentral.
UACGUAGGGGGCGAGCGUUGUCCGGAAUCAUUGGGCGUAAAGCGCGUGUAGGCGGCUCGGUAAGUCUGCUGUGAAAGUCCAGGGCUCAACCCUGGGAUGCCGGUGGAUACUGUCGAGCUCGAGUCCGGAAGAGGCGAGUGGAAUUCCUGGUGUAGCGGUGAAAUGCGCAGAUAUCAGGAGGAACACCAAUUGCGAAGGCAGCUCGCUGGAACGUAACUGACGCUGAGACGCGAAAGCGUGGGGAGCAAACAGG